RNAcentral lists this ribosomal RNA (403 nucleotides) under Fusobacteriota bacterium. RNAcentral's name for it is "Fusobacteria bacterium partial 16S ribosomal RNA". It matches the Rfam family "Bacterial small subunit ribosomal RNA", at positions 355 to 776 of the family's 1533-position model. Lineage: Bacteria; Fusobacteriati; Fusobacteriota. The record is from RNAcentral.
UGGGGAAUAUUGCACAAUGGGGGAAACCCUGAUGCAGCGACGCCGCGUGAGCGAAGAAGGUUUUCGAAUCGUAAAGCUCUGUCCUAUGGGAAGAUAAUGACGGUACCAUAGGAGGAAGCCCCGGCUAACUACGUGCCAGCAGCCGCGGUAAUACGUAGGGGGCAAGCGUUGUCCGGAAUCACUGGGCGUAAAGGGUUCGCAGGCGGAAAUGCAAUUCAGUUGUGAAAGGCAGAGGCUCAACCUCUGUAAGCAAUUGAAACUGUAUUUCUUGAGAUGUGGAGAGGCAAGUGGAAUUCCUAGUGUAGCGGUGAAAUGCGUAGAUAUUAGGAAGAAUACCGGUGGCGAAGGCGACUUGCUGGACACAAACUGACGCUGAGGAACGAAAGCGUGGGUAGCAAACAGG